UUGCUUUGGCUACACAUAUACUAAAAUUGGGAUGAUACAGAGAUUAGGAUGGCUGCUGUGCAAGGAUGACAUGCAAAACACACAAAGUGCUUUCCUGAGUCAU
Small nuclear RNA from Vulpes vulpes (red fox), 103 nucleotides. The record is from Ensembl. NCBI's taxonomy places the organism in Eukaryota, Metazoa, Chordata, Mammalia, Carnivora, Canidae.